ACCUGGCAUACAAUGUAGAAUACUGU
RNAcentral lists this microRNA (26 nucleotides) under Ophiophagus hannah (king cobra). RNAcentral's name for it is "oha-miR-221-5p". Its record names the gene oha-miR-221-5p. Lineage: Eukaryota; Metazoa; Chordata; Lepidosauria; Squamata; Elapidae. The record is from miRBase by way of RNAcentral.